Long non-coding RNA from Dreissena polymorpha, 296 nucleotides. RefSeq lists it as uncharacterized. The transcript is spliced from 3 exons. NCBI's taxonomy places the organism in Eukaryota, Metazoa, Mollusca, Bivalvia, Myida, Dreissenidae. The record is from RefSeq and is a predicted model, not a curated record.
GAAGCAUUGAUGAACGGGAAGAGGACCUAUUUGAUGCGGAUUCCAUAACUUUUAAGUGCAGAAAGGAAAUGCUGGGAAGUUUGUUGAUUGAAUGCGAGGCGACUGAACGUGUGAGGAAACAGCUUUACAUCGAGGUCGUUCAAAAUAUCAGACGCGAGUACAUGGCUAUUAACAAAAUUGAACUGGCAAAUGUGAAAUGACUGUGUGAGACACGGAUUGACGAAGCUCUCAAGGAGUACAAGCAGGCAUCGCAGGAAUUAUCAGAUGUUAAAUCACAACUUUCAGUGACAACUCAA